Homo sapiens (human) is the source of this 995-nucleotide long non-coding RNA. Ensembl annotates it as long intergenic non-protein coding RNA 2532. Lineage: Eukaryota; Metazoa; Chordata; Mammalia; Primates; Hominidae. The record is from Ensembl.
GGCAGGAAGGCACCAGGCAGAGGGAGCAGCACGUGCAAAGGCACGGAGGCCCAGGAGAGCAUGGGGCCUUUGACUUGCAAGAGAUUUCCUGUGUGUGAUUGCUAUAUGGGGUCCCACACUUACAGGGAAAGCAUCACCCGAAAGUGAGAAUGCCUAGAGGCAGGAAUCAUGGAGGCUUCCUUAACCGUCUGUCUGCAACAGCAGGUGCUAGAGAUGACACUGCAGAGUAGAGAACAAAGGAAUCUUAGUAAUUGUUCAAUCCAAUCUCCACACUUUAAAGAUGAAGAAACUGGUAUUGAGAAAAAUACACAGCUUAUCCAAGGUUGCACUGCUGGUUGGUAGCUGAGAUGAAUUUAGAACCCACAUCUGAUGACUACACCAUAUUGCUCCCAGUUUUCCUGUCUGUUCCACAUGUAAAAGUCUGACUCUUCACUUCUCCUUUGAGUAUAUAGACUUUUAACAUUUUUGUAUGUCAAGAUGGACUUUUCCUCAUACCCAGCCCCUGCCUUUUCUCCUCCCUUCAUACCUUGCAGGAUCUUUAACAGAAUUUAAAAGGAGUUUUUUGUUUUGUUUUGAUGUAUCUAAUAAAAGUCAAGGGAGGGAGAGGGCCAGUAUAAGCAAGAGUACAGUUUCCUAGUUUGUAGAUGCGGUAGUCUGAGGAAUCAGAAACACACAAAGGUUUGGAGAACUGGUACAUGCUCCCAGGUGGGAAGCCAGGACUCUUGGUAGGAUCUUGAGGACAAGGCAAAGGACAAUAAGAGAGCGAGGGGAUCCUAGAGGUGGAAUCAAGGAAGAGAAACUAGAGAGAGAAAAAGGAACUGGCUAUCCAUCCAUGAUGGAUCCUGUGUGGACUGAUGGGUGGCUUGGCAUCAUCCUUUAGUAGACUUCAUGUGGUUGAAUAAUUGGCCAAUGGAAGGAAUUUCUUUUUUGGUAACAGACUCUGUGUGUACAGUUAUGGGUCUUAAUUUAUAAUAAAAGGUUACAUUGAAAAUUGA